Molecule: unclassified non-coding RNA, 212 nt
Filed under: Hevea brasiliensis (rubber tree)
Lineage: Eukaryota; Viridiplantae; Streptophyta; Magnoliopsida; Malpighiales; Euphorbiaceae
Source: RNAcentral
GGAUUUGGAAGCUUAUCAAGGCGUAGUUUUGAGGUGAGGCUGUCUGGAAAUUCCAGGGGUAAAUCUCAUGGGCCAGUUCAUGAGUUUAAUGAUGAGCCUCUGCUAAUUCAGACUAGCCGUUGGGCUAGCCUUCCCCCCGAAUUAUUAUGUGACGUGGUCCGAAGACUGGAGGCGAGUGAGAAUACUUGGCCUUCUCGGAGAAAUGUUGUUGC